Molecule: long non-coding RNA, 977 nt
Organism: Notothenia coriiceps (black rockcod)
Lineage: Eukaryota; Metazoa; Chordata; Actinopteri; Perciformes; Nototheniidae
Exons: 3
Source: RefSeq, a predicted model, not a curated record
UCUUUGCAGUAACAUAGAAAAAAUGUGGCUCUUAACCUCUGACUGGUUGGCCACCCCUGCUAUAUUGCAUACACAAACAACUACACAAAUUUUAGCUCAGAUAACUGGUCACAACAUAUGAAAUAUGAAUAUGCAAACACAAUAUACGUCAUUGCAUUGAACUGAGAUAUGAAUACUUAAAAUAAAUGGCAACAUUCAUACUGUAGAUGCUAGAACACAUGUAUGAAAUUAAACGUGCUCAAUCUCUAUAACUCGCUGCAUCUAAUCACAAGAAUGCACUCAAAGUAAAGAACUAUAAUGUCACAACAUAACAACUUACACGUAAGGCCUUCUCAAGGGCUACGAACGAAGGAUGGCACAGGAUGAACAGACAUCAGCUUCACUGGAGCACACCACUUCAGAAUUACCAACUACUAACUAUAACUAAUAACUAACUUCCUGUCACAUGGAACUAGAAUUAAAUACUAAGCCAGAAUAAUAACCAUUUGUAAAAGCUGCAGAUAUACGAUGGCUAUCAGUGGUGUUCAGGAUGACCAGGUGCCUGCACACUGUCACAUGUGUAGAGGUGUGUGUUUGCAGACUCAGCGAGGGAGGCCCUGGCAGAGCAAGGCGUGGCAGAGGUGCUGACCUUCCAGCUGAAACGGGCGCCUGACGCUGAGCGCCGACAUGUCAUCCUGGAAAUACUGGGGGCUCUGGGCGAGAGUGAUACACUGAAGCUGCAGUUUGCAGAGUCAGGAGUACCAGAGGCCUUAUCGGAGAUGAUUCGGAGUCUGCAGGGAGGAUCUGACCCUCACGACCUCUGCAGCAUCAAGAUCGCCUCCAACCUCAUUGUGUCUCUGCUGUUAGGAGAUGAGUCCAUGCAGAAGUGUUUUGGGGAGGGCUCUGGUGUGGUGUAUCAGGAUGUUCUGUCCUGGCUGCAGAGCUCCAACACACAGCUGCAACUGUCCGGAGCCCUGGCCAUCGCCAACUUUGCCAGA